Molecule: ribosomal RNA, 250 nt
Filed under: uncultured bacterium
Lineage: Bacteria
Description: partial 16S ribosomal RNA
Rfam family: Bacterial small subunit ribosomal RNA
Source: RNAcentral
UACGGAGGGUGCAAGCGUUAUCCGGAUUCACUGGGUUUAAAGGGAGCGUAGGUGGGCUGGUAAGUCAGUGGUGAAAUCUCCGAGCUUAACUUGGAAACUGCCAUUGAUACUAUUAGUCUUGAAUAUUGUGGAGGUCAGCGGAAUAUGUCAUGUAGCGGUGAAAUGCUCAGAGAUGACAUAGAACACCAAUUGCGAAGGCAGCUGGCUACGCAUAUAUUGACACUGAGGCUCGAAAGCGUGGGGAUCAAAC